GACCUAGUGGCGGAAGGUAUUGCGCCUGCAUAAAUUAAAUAAACGAUGAAGUGCAGCAGGCACUCCUGGUUCGACUCCAGGCUAGGUCG
Mycena latifolia is the source of this 89-nucleotide non-coding RNA. The record is from the annotation of a GenBank genome assembly. NCBI's taxonomy places the organism in Eukaryota, Fungi, Basidiomycota, Agaricomycetes, Agaricales, Mycenaceae.